Long non-coding RNA from Acanthopagrus latus (yellowfin seabream), 1197 nucleotides. RefSeq lists it as uncharacterized. The transcript has 4 exons. The record is from RefSeq and is a predicted model, not a curated record. Lineage: Eukaryota; Metazoa; Chordata; Actinopteri; Spariformes; Sparidae.
CCCACAUUUUCCUAAACCACGUGGUUUUCACGCCUGUAACCUCACCAGGCCAUGAGCACAACCCUUAAUAACACCAAAGAACUAUGAAGUUGUAACAUAAAGAAAUGUGACGUUACAAGAUAUCUGUGUUUUGCAGACACAUACUUUUCAGACAUUAUCCUGCCUAUUGGUUUGGUGUUUCAUGAGAACGUUUAUUUGUAUUUGUUGACAUAAUAAAAUAAGUUUUUUUCUUGGUUUGCAUGUGAAACAUCAGGUCAGACUGCUUUAUUAUACUUGUCAAGUGUUUGCUAUUCAAACGUGUACAACAAUGUCUUUCACCACUGACCAGCAGGAUGAGUCACAGCCCUCCCUCUCUGAUAUUUAUCUGUUUCAAGUUCCAUCAGAUCAGCUCGGCGUACUUUUGGCACAAACGCUGGAAAAUGAGUUCAGAAGGCGGCCUGGUGCUGCGGCUUGCUGAUUAAUAUUAAUUCCUCCCACUACGGGAGUCUGCAUUUGAUUCCCGGCCCAUUGUGCUUACUUUUCAUUCACUUCAGUGGUAUCGCAGAGUCGGCCGCCUGCUCUGUAAGUGCCACUGAAUGAAUAUUCAGCUAUCGAACAACUUUCAUCUGUGAACAUUUGGGCUCGACCCCUCCAUUUGUCACUCGCAGCGAUGUUAUAUUUCUCUCCUUUGGGAAUGCAUUUUGUUUGGAUUUCAUGGCAUCUCUUGCCUGAGUUUCCCUCCACACCUGCGCUGCAUCUCCUCCAUCAGCUCCUCCUCCCUGUUUUCUAGUGUUUCUCCACCUGCACCUCAUCCCCUUACACAGGAUGGCUGAUCUGGGUUCAGGGUCGGAAGGAUCCUUGCUGAAACUGGAGCUUGAACGCAGGGAAUGACACGUCUCUGCUCCCAGAAAAAUCUUGGAGGCAUUUUAAAAAAGCCCCAGACAUCAACCACGCUUUGAACCGUUGCACAUUUGGAAAUUAUGAGUCGGGAAGUGGCUUAAUGGAGUGUUUGAUGGAUUUUAAUGAGCUACCACACGACAUCCUCCAUCAACAGAGACACUGCAGAGAUGAAAACGCAGCACAUGUAAAAACUACAGCACAUUGACUUGUAUGUGUGUGAGGAGUGAGGUCAGAAUAUGCUGUCACCUGUGUGUGUGUGUGUGUGUGUGUGUGUGUGUGUGUGUGUGUGUGUGUGUGUGUGUGUGUGUGUCUGUGUGU